This 301-nucleotide ribosomal RNA is filed under the name uncultured bacterium. Its description in RNAcentral is "partial 16S ribosomal RNA". It matches the Rfam family "Bacterial small subunit ribosomal RNA", at positions 509 to 807 of the family's 1533-position model. The record is from RNAcentral.
CAGCAGCCGCGGGAAUACGGAGGGGGCUAGCGUUAUUCGGAAUUACUGGGCGUAAAGCGCACGUAGGCGGCUUUUUAAGUCAGAGGUGAAAGCCCGGGGCUCAACUCCGGAACUGCCUUUGAGACUGGAAGGCUUGAACGUCGGAGAGGUGAGUGGAAUUCCGAGUGUAGAGGUGAAAUUCGUAGAUAUUCGGAAGAACACCAGUGGCGAAGGCGGCUCACUGGACGACUGUUGACGCUGAGGUGCGAAAGCGUGGGGAGCAAACAGGAUUAGAUACCCGCGUAGUCCCUGUCUCUUAUAC